GACGAACGCUGGCGGCGUGCCUAACACAUGCAAGUCGAACGAGGUCCAUCCUUCGGGAGAAGACCUAGUGGCGAACGGGUGAGUAACACGUGAAGAACCUGCCCCGAAGACCGGGAUAACCCUCCGAAAGGAGAGCUAAUACCGGAUACCCCCACCGAACCGCAUGGUUUGGUGAGGAAAUGGAUUCCGCUUCGGGAGGGCUUCGCGGCCUAUCAGCUAGUUGGUGGGGUAACGGCCCACAAGGCAUCGACGGGUAGCUGGUCUGAGAGGACGAUCAGCCACACUGGGACUGAGACACGGCCCAGACUCCUACGGGAGGCAGCAGUGGGGAAUCUUGCGCAAUGGGCGAAAGCCUGACGCAGCAACGCCGCGUGGGGGAUGAAGGCUCUCGGGUUGUAAACCCCUUUCCAGCAGGGACGAAUCAAGACGGUACCUGCAGAAGAAGCCCCGGCUAACUACGUGCCAGCAGCCGCGGU
This 476-nucleotide ribosomal RNA is filed under the name uncultured bacterium. Its description in RNAcentral is "bacterial SSU rRNA". It matches the Rfam family "Bacterial small subunit ribosomal RNA", at positions 28 to 521 of the family's 1533-position model. The record is from RNAcentral.